This is a long non-coding RNA of Pezoporus occidentalis (night parrot), 831 nucleotides long. RefSeq lists it as uncharacterized. NCBI's taxonomy places the organism in Eukaryota, Metazoa, Chordata, Aves, Psittaciformes, Psittacidae. The record is from RefSeq and is a predicted model, not a curated record. The transcript is spliced from 3 exons.
AAGCUCCUUGUAUAUGAAUUCAACAGGUUUCUCUGCUUCCUCUAUUUCUGCCCCAAGGACAGGUCCAGCAUCAGGCUCUGGCUCUGCAUGAUGCUCCGGUCGCUGGGCUGGGCAUAGAGGAUGGCCACCUCUUUCUCAUUCUUCAUCAAGUGCAGCCUCAUCCUCCUGACUGCUCCAGAGCUCCUUGAUCAGCAGCAGCAGGAAAUGAAGCAUCGUUAGGGUUGGGUUUGUCUGGACUCAAACUUCCUCUUGGAAGUGACUUGCUUGGGAUUUGUCUUAAUUUCUUCCCCAGGAGGACCUAAAGUUUCUUUGAGCAAUUUAUUGUAGAAAGCCCAAAACACUGCAGGAGCCUGUGCAUUUUCCAAGGUAAAGCUGUGGCAGCUCAGGGGUUCCUUUGCCCGGAGGGCAGCUCCUCUCUGACACUAUUCCAUAGGGAUGCUUCACUCGAGCUGAGCAUCAGGAGCCUGUCUGCAGCCAUGAAGUGACUUCAGGGCUUGGAGACAAACGUAUUUGGAUGUCAAAAAGCUAUGUGGUUUGAAAGUUUCCACUGUCUGUAGUGGUUUGCAGAUGACCAAUGUUAACGCCCUCUUGUCCAUGGUGUUUAUACAAGGCACUGAAGUGAAGAGGAGGGAUGGAGAGUGCUGCCAGAGCCAGCCCUGGGUUGGUUGAGCCUUGCCAGAUCUGAGCAGGGCAGGAAUGGAGGCAAAGCCAGGAUCUAGCCAUGGAGAGGUCCAGGGUGUUUUUGCUGCAUCCAUAUUUAUAACGGCUCGGGUGCACUCUUGGUCAGUGAGUUUGUAGCUCCAUUUCUAACUAGGUGCUUUGGUUUUUGUU